Molecule: ribosomal RNA, 288 nt
Filed under: unidentified marine bacterioplankton
Lineage: Bacteria
Description: partial 16S ribosomal RNA
Rfam family: Bacterial small subunit ribosomal RNA
Source: RNAcentral
UCGAGCGACCGAUUGGGCUUGCCUUGAUUCGGCAGCGGCGACGGGUGAGUAACACGUGGGCAAACCUGCCCGCAAGACCGGGAUAACUCCGGGAAACCGGAGCUAAUACCGGAUAACACCGAAGACCGCAUGGUCUUCGGUUUAAAGGCGGCCUUUGGGCUGUCACUUGCGGAUGGGCCCGCGGCGCAUUAGCUAGUUGGUGAGGUAACGGCUCACCAAGGCGACGAUGCGUAGCCGGCCUGAGGGGGUGACCGGCCACACUGGGGACUGAGACACGGCCCAGACUCC